UACAGAGGGUGCGAGCGUUGUCCGGAAUCACUGGGCGUAAAGGGCGCGUAGGCGGCUUGAUAAGCGUGCGGUGAAAGCCCGGGGCUCAACCCCCGGGUCGGCCGUGCGAACUGUCGAGCUGGAGCACUGUAGAGGCAGGUGGAAUUCCGGGUGUAGCGGUGGAAUGCGUAGAGAUCCGGAAGAACACCGGUGGCGAAGGCGGCCUGCUGGGCAGUGGCUGACGCUGAGGAGCGAAAGCGUGGGUAGCAAACAGG
This 254-nucleotide ribosomal RNA is filed under the name uncultured bacterium. RNAcentral's name for it is "partial 16S ribosomal RNA". It matches the Rfam family "Bacterial small subunit ribosomal RNA", at positions 524 to 776 of the family's 1533-position model. The record is from RNAcentral.